Molecule: long non-coding RNA, 387 nt
Filed under: Gossypium barbadense (sea-island cotton)
Lineage: Eukaryota; Viridiplantae; Streptophyta; Magnoliopsida; Malvales; Malvaceae
Description: long non-coding RNA (GBAR_LNC006278)
Source: RNAcentral
AAAAAGAUAUCAGCUGGGGUUCUUGGUGGAGCAACUGCAAUCUGGGUCCUUUUUGAGUUGAUCGAAUACCACCUACUUACUCUGCUCUGUCACAUUUCGAUACUCUGUCUUGCAGUAUUGUUCCUCUGGUCCAAUGUCCAUACCUUUAUCCACAAGUAAGUUCUGGGGGUCUUUGCAUGAGCUUUAAUCUAUUUAACAUAUUGAUGGUUUCUUAAAGAAUAUAAUAUGACCUUUUGCUUCACAGGACUCCACCUCGCAUCCCACAAGUUCAUUUGCCAGAGGAGCCAUUCCUUCAGAUCGCCUCUGCUCUGACAAUUGAACUUAACCAGGCAUUGAAACUGCUGCGAGAUAUUGCAUCUGGAAGGAAUCUGAAGAAGUUUCUUGUGG